This 253-nucleotide ribosomal RNA is filed under the name uncultured bacterium. RNAcentral's name for it is "partial 16S ribosomal RNA". It matches the Rfam family "Bacterial small subunit ribosomal RNA", at positions 524 to 776 of the family's 1533-position model. The record is from RNAcentral.
UACGAAGGGGGCUAGCGUUGCUCGGAAUCACUGGGCGUAAAGCGCACGUAGGCGGAUCGAUCAGUCAGGGGUGAAAUCCCAGGGCUCAACCCUGGAACUGCCUUUGAUACUGUCGAUCUGGAGUAUGGAAGAGGUGAGUGGAAUUCCGAGUGUAGAGGUGAAAUUCGUAGAUAUUCGGAGGAACACCAGUGGCGAAGGCGGCCAUCUGGACAGUCACUGACACUGAGACGCGAAAGCGUGGGUAGCAAACAGG